RNAcentral lists this unclassified non-coding RNA (4496 nucleotides) under Hevea brasiliensis (rubber tree). Lineage: Eukaryota; Viridiplantae; Streptophyta; Magnoliopsida; Malpighiales; Euphorbiaceae. The record is from RNAcentral.
GUGGGUUUAUCUGUUGUAAUUUUUCCUGUUUAAGGGAGUUGAAGUCAUAGUCACUCACAUGUCAAUAGAAUCUCACACUUCCUCUGGUCAAACUAAAAUAUUACUUCUUUCUCUUUACCAAAAUUCUCUCUUUCUCUGUGCAUAUUUUUCGCUUCUUUUUUGCCUGUGAGCUUAGGGUUUUUCUCUCUCCAUCUCUGUAGAAUCCACCUUGAAUGUUUAGCAAUCUGAGCGAAAUCUAGCGGUUCGUGGAGGAAAUUUUUUAAUUAAGUAGAUGCUAGUGAUCUCUGUUUUACGUGAAUUUUAGUGUAUUUCUAGCUCGAUCUUCGUCAGUGUCUGAGGAUUUGAAGAAACCGAUCGGGUUUGGUUCUCCAUUUAGUGAAGUGCAGUGAUGUGUUGAGUAAUGGCACUUAGACUUCCAGCUCCAAAGGCAGCUGAGGUUGCAAUUGGGUCCAUAGGGCAUGGAUAUGAUAUAACAGCUGAUUUAAGGUUGAAAUACUGUAAAGGGGGUGCAAAGGAUUCACAAUUAAUUGAGAUUGAUGAAGGUGGGGGUAGAGAGAUUGUUUUGCCUGGUGGGAUUUCAAUACCAAAUGUGUCCAAAUCAAUAAAGUGCGAUAAAGGGGAGCGAACAAGGUUUAGGUCUGAUGUCCUCUCUUUCCAGCAGAUGUCUGAGCAAUUCAACCAGGAAAUGUCAUUGACUGGAAAAAUUCCCUCUGGUCUGUUCAAUUCCAUGUUCGAAUUCACAGGUUGUUGGCAGAAAGAUGCAGCUAAUACUAAAACCCUUGCUUCUGAUGGAGUAUUCAUUACUCUUUAUACAGUUGCAUUAGAGAAAUCUCAAAUUGUACUUCGUGAUCAUGUUAAAAAGGCUGUUCCAUCAUCAUGGGAACCUUCAGCAUUAGCAAAGUUUAUUGAAAUGUUUGGCACUCAUAUUAUUAUUGGUGUGAAGAUGGGCGGGAAGGAUGUCAUAUAUGUGAAACAGCAGCAUUCAUCUAUUCUUCAACCAGCUGAUCUACAGAAGAGACUAAAAGAGAUGGCUGAUAAGAGGUUUUUAGAUACCAGUGGACAGUAUAGCAUGGCUUCUGAGCAAGUUUACCAGAGUAACAAGUUGGAAAUCAGGGAGCAGCGGCUGAGGUUUGCUGAUACUAGUUCCUCAAGUUCUUAUUCUCACAAGGAGGAUAUCAUGAUAAUUUACAAAAGGAGAGGCGGAAGUGAUAAACUUCUAUCCCAUAGUGACUGGUUACGCACUGUUCAAUUUGAGCCUGAUGUAAUCUCAAUGUCCUUUAUUCCAAUUACCUCUCUAUUGAAUGGAGUCCCAGGGAAUGGAUUCUUGAGCCACGCCGUAAAUCUAUAUCUACGAUGUAAGUAAAAUUGCUUCAGGACAUAACGUUGUUGGAUUUUUACUUUUUUAUUGGCAGUGUUGCUAAUUGUGAUCAAUGUGAUCUUUAUAUCGCGUUUGCAUGCUCUAUAUUAGUUCUUUCUCAAAACACCUUUGAUCCUUACCCCUCGAUUUCUUUUCAUUUUUGACAUGUGAUUCAUGUUCAGAUCUCUUCAUAUGGAUUAUGAUCUAUUCAUUGCUUUUCUUUAAUCAUAAUGCUGCUAAAUAUUGUUGCACCAUUAAAAAUAACUGUCAUGGCUUUGCUUAUGAGUACCAGAUAAGCCCCCAAUUGAAGAGCUACACCAGUUUUUGGAAUUUCAGCUGCCAAGGCAAUGGGCACCAGUGUUUAGUGAACUUCCCCUUGGGCCACAACGGAAGCAGCACAGUACAGCAUCUUUACAAUUUAGUCUCAUAGGCCCUAAGCUUUUUGUAAACACCAGUCCAGUAAGGCCUCUUCUCUUAACAAAUUGUUUCUUGUGUUUCUUACCUGGCUGUGCCUUAUCAUUUGACUCAAAAUUUUUCAUGUUCUUGUAUGUUAUGUAUGACUUUAUGAAUGACUAUAGAAUGUUUUUGGAUAGCACUACAUCUGCUAGAUCAUUUGCAUAAUAGUUAAAUUGAUUAACAUGCUAACAGGUGGCCAUCAUUGGCUGAAACACAGUAAUUGUUGGGUCUAGAAUUCUAAAUAUGCCAUGCCAUAAUUUUGAGGUAUAACUUUUUUGAAGUAAACAAAUCUGAUCGACUUAGUAAUUUUCAAUUUAUUUUACUUUUGUAAUAAGAAAUACUUGCAUGAUCUAAAAAGUAGGACAUGUGCAUUAAGUACUUCCAUGGCAAAUACUGUUGAAGGGGUGAAUUUAUUUAUGGAGUUCAUAUCUUACUAUUAGAAGUUUUGAAGUGAAGAAUCACAUGGACAGAAUGUUUUGCGAGUUACUAUUGUUGGGAGUAAGGUGUCAUAAUAAUUUGUCACGUGUUUUUUAUGGUUCCCUUAGUAUUCUAACAAAAACUGUACUAUUUGUACAAAUUUAUAGAUGAUUGUAGGGAUUUGCAUUUCUCCUUGUUCACCUGAAACAUCUCUAGGUAAUUUUCUAUGAAACAGUUUGGGUGGCUCUAAUUUAUCUGUAUUUGUACAUCCAUUGAUGGUAUUGAAAACACCAAAACUGGCUGUAGCUAUUCAUUGAUUGUGUUUUAUUCGACAGGAAUCUGAAUUUAUAAAUUCCUUGACAGGUUGAUGUUGGUAAGAGGCCAGUGACUGGUCUUCGGCUUUAUCUAGAAGGCAAACGAAGCAAUCGCUUGGCCAUUCACUUGCAGCACCUUUCAUCUCUUCCGAAAAUCUUCCAACUCGCAGAUGAUCCACAUGGUAAUUUCCGUCAGGAUUCCUAUGAUCAUAAAUACUAUGAGAAAGUACAAUGGAAGAAUUUCUCUCAUGUCUGUACUGCUCCUGUUGAGUCUGAUGAGGAACUUUCUAUAGUAACUGGAGCCCAAUUGCAAGUUGAGAAUUGUGGAUUUAAAAAUAUUCUCUUCUUACGAUUGCGAUUCUCGACUGUGUCGGGAGCUGCGGCUGUAAAGCAUCCAGAAUGGGAUGGAUCACCUGGGUUGGCACCUAAAUCUGGCCUCAUAUCAACAUUAAUCAGCCAUCGGUUCACAUCAGUGCAGAAGCCACCUCCAAGACCAGCUGAUGUGAAUAUAAAUUCAGCUGUGUACCCUGGGGGCCCCCCAGUGCCCGUUCAAGUCCCCAAGCUUCUUAAGUUUGUUGACACAACAGAGAUGACGAGAGGGCCCCAGGAAACUCCUGGCUAUUGGGUUGUUUCUGGGGCUAGACUAGUUGUUGAGAAAGGUAGGAUUUCUCUCCGGGUUAAGUAUUCCUUGUUGACUGCAGUAUUACCUGAUGAAGAUUUGGAACCAGAAAACUAGCAGAAUUCAUCAUCCCAACUCCACCCAAUUGAACAAAGGUGAAAAGUACAGAAGUUGCAAAGUGGGAAGAACGGCAAAAGUUAUUGGCACUAAGGUUGCAAAUGCAGGAAGGUGCAAAAUGGAAAUAAUGAUUGAUUGGGAAGCAGUUGGCAAAUUGUUGUUGUAAUUUGUUCUGAUCACUGAUUUUUCCCCUGUAAUGUAAUUUUGCUUCCAUUGUAGAUUCCCCAUUUUGGUGCCUUCAAUCUUAUAACAAGGUAUUUUACAUCCUCAUUCUGCUGGUGCUAGCUGCCUGUUUGACACCUGCAGUGACCUGCACCGAGCAUGGUGUUUAAUCAGUCCUCAUGGCUUUCUUGGAAUAUAAUUUUGGGAUCUAAGAAGUUGCAUGAGGAUCUGGGUCCUCUUCGCUAAUCCAUUCCUCAGGCACUGCAAAUUAAAACAGCCCUGUUGAACCUUGUGCUUGGCCUUGCAGAGCCCUAGCCAGCGCCCAUUUGAGGGUGCAAAACAUUCAGCUGGGUACAAUUUAAUUGAGUGUGAGCGAAAUACGAGUUCUAAUUUGCUUUCUCACAUUUUGAAGGCCUUGAAUUAAGAGUGUCUAGGACUUGGUUAAUACAAUGGUGUCAAGAAACAUGAAAUUGAAGUACCACUUUUGUUGGCCACUUGCCAAACAUGAAGAUUCAGGGGUUCGUUAAGCAGAGUCUUGGCCAGCCUUUCCAAGUAAAAUUUCUUGUUCAUCAAUCAUCAUAGUGUUGUAAAGCUGACCGCCCCCUCCGAGUCUGGAAACAGUAAAUGAAACCCAUUCCGGAAGCCACGAUGCACCAGUACAGGCCAUCCUGAGAGGACCAUAUGGUUCUUGCAGGGAGAACAGGUAUGCAAUCCCACCUUCACAAGUCCUUUCAUGUAGUCACCUCAAAGAUGACAACAAUCUUUUUCUGAAAAACAACAUCUACAGGAAUUCGUUUCUAAAAGAAACCAAAGGCAACGGCAAGAUCUACUGAAUCAUCAAAGGAGCUUUCUUUUGCUACUUUUCAUUCAUUUUCCUGUUUUAAAGAAGUUAAGCAUCAAAAAAUAAGAUCAGCUUUAGAUAUGGAUAUAGGUCACUUUCAUAAAAAGGCUCAAAUCUCAAUCAUCCCAUAUUAGUGGAAGACAAGGAGAAAAUAUAGAUCAUAAAAUAAUUGAAGAUUCUAGUAAUCAGAAGGUUAUAUAAAUAAAUUUAAAA